This 29701-nucleotide long non-coding RNA is filed under the name Capsicum annuum. RNAcentral describes it as "long non-coding RNA (CANN_LNC021493)". The record is from RNAcentral. Lineage: Eukaryota; Viridiplantae; Streptophyta; Magnoliopsida; Solanales; Solanaceae.
UGGCUGCUGAACGUCUGAUCUACUAAGGAUGCUUGAGAGCUCGUUCUUCUCAACCUAUGGUAUAAAACACCAUAGUGCAAAUGCGUUAGUACGUUGAAUAUACUGCUAUGCAAGUGAGGUAGGCUAAAUACAAGGGUUCAUAUGCAUAAACAAUAAUAACUGACUGUAUAACAUGAACGUGAGAAUACAUGCAUAAAUAUGUAACUGUUACUAAGAUCGUGACAGCGCUGACUCAUGAAUUUUGACAAUAUGGAUUUACUAAUAUAUGAGUACUAAUACUGGGAUAUUAAAUGACUGAGUCUACUAAAUACUGAGGAACUAAUGUCAUAUUAUUAAUAAAGAAAUGACUGUUUCUGAUAGUUCUGAUUAUGAAGAACUGGUCUAAUUGACUGUAUCUGGUAGUCCUGAAACUAAAUAUUGAUAACAUGGGUUUUGUAUAAUUAAUAUACUAUUAACUGAGUUCGUGAUAACAUGAUUACUAAUUCUGAAUACUGAUAACAUGAGUGACUGCAUCUGAUAGUCCUGAUAUUGAUGGAACUAGCUGGGUUCUGUACUGUACUGAUUUUACUAUAUAUGACAGUCCUGGAUUUUUGUAGAACUGAACUGAGUUUUAUUACUGAAAUUGGAUCUUAAACUGAGACUGUGGGUGGUAAUUAUCUAACCGACAUGCCCCAAAACUGAACUGGUGGGGUCUAACCUAUAAUCCCAGCUAGAAGGGUAUCAGUACCGUGCUACAGGUAAAGAUAAGCUAUGAGUAUACCCUUUCUCAUAGGGUAUAAAUCCCUAUGAGAUAUAUAAAUCCCUAAACGUGUAGGGUGCAUCUCAACCUACACUGACUACGUAGUUCUGGAACACAAGGAUUGCUUUUAAGGAUCUUACCCUCUAUUGAAUAACAGGUGAGUCCCCAUCCUUUGAUUCAUUCAGUGCUGAAUCCUACUCCCAACUGAAUAGACACUGAACUGAUUAACUAAACUAAAAUGAUACUAAUGGUAUUGUUUAGCGGUGCUAAACUGAGUUCACUGAGUUCCAUUGACUGGCAGAAUGCUAUUAAGAUCUGAGGACUGAUAUAGAGUACUGAAGUUACUGAGAUUUAUGGAAAUACUGAGGUGACUGAUAUUACUGAGUACUGAUGUUACUGACACCACUGAGGUUACUGAGAUUACUGAGUAGGACUUGAUUGAUACUGAAUUUACUAAUUUUUCCUGAGUCAUGAGACAAACUGAAUUCUAAGGAUCAUGACUUGACUGAGAGUAUCGUGAAAACAUGAAACUGACUCUAGGCACAUAGCUAAAUUAUCGGGUACAAGUACCCCUAGUACUCGAUAGCAUGAAACUAACAAUACAUGACACUUCUUGAACACAUGACCAAUAUCAACUAGUCAUAAUACAUUAAUUUAGGGAUUUCAUGAAGCACAUGGUUCUCAUAGUCUUGUACAUGAAUGGAAUUGCAUAUAAACAUGUCAUACUUUCAUCAACCUAAUCUCAUGGACAUUCCCUCAACCAUUCAUAAUGCACACAAUAUCAUGAAAGUCAUUCUUAAUCAUAGGGUAAAGCAUACACUUAUCACUUGGGUCACAAUUAAGAUAUAAUGCAUAAUUUCUAUUCUCCUAAACAUUUUAUCAAACACCUAGGAUGCAUGACUAAGGGCAUAGGCAUGACCAUCAAUUAAUACAACAAAACUCCAUAUUUUAACUCAAUUUCACAUGUUUCAAAACACAUACUAGCAUAGGUUCAUGAACAACACAUAAAGAUUCCAACUUGGGAAUCAUACAACCAUAAUGACAUGAACAUAAUCAACCCACAGUAAAAUAUUCACAAUAUAAGAUUUAAAGCUUGAUUCUUGGGCUUCAUGGAUGAAAGGAAUCCAUGAAUGAACACUUUGCAUACCUUAGUUCUUGAUUCUACGAAGAUUGACAGAGAGAUUAUUGAAUUUGAGUCUUGGAUUUGAAUCCCCAAUUGAAAACCCUAGCUUGUUCUUGCGAAAAACUUGAGAGAAACAAUAUAUUUUGGGUGAAUUAUGGUUGAAUCAAGUGUUAUUGGGUAUAUAGGGGUGAGAAAUUGACCCUUUUAACCCUUGGACGCGUAUUUUAAUUCUGUGAAAAUCUCUCGACCUGGACCCCUGGCGCGACGUGGUGAAUUUGGACGAAUUUGGUAUCGAUGGAAAUCUUAUUCAAUUUCCCAUAUGAUAAAAAGUGCAAAUCUUGAAAAUACCACAUGUAUAAAAGUGGAUUCAUCUUUAAAAUAAGUCUUUAACAUUUAUGGGAUAAUUUUAAGCUAGGUAGAAGUAUGGGGUAUUACAGGUUUAUGUUCCCAAGUCUUUGAGUUAUCCUAACUCGAAGACUAAACUCCUAAAUCAAUUUAUAACACACUGGCACUAAGAAAUCAUGAAAAUUACAACUCAAUAAACUUUUUAAUACAUAAUAACUAGAAUAGAAUACUGUUCGACACAAGGAUGGAACAUGUUCUUAAAUCUGGUUUACCGUAUUAGGCUUCACUUCGAUAGUUGGGUAGAACUCUCUCAAAUAUUGUUCUUACUAUUUUGCUCGUGUUCUCCCUUUUUUUCUUUCAGUAUUUUUGCAUCAAUUUCAUUUUGAAAGUCCUUGCAUAUUUAUAAGUUCUAUUGAUCUUCACAAUCAAGUAGACUUUCAACUCCACAAGGACUCCCAUGCUUCUUGGACUCUCUUAUUGAGUGUUGUAUUCAAACACUAACUCUUUUUUUCAGCACAUGAUGAUCUCUUAAUGUUUAUCUGAAGAAACAAACUUCCGUUCCUUUAUUUUUACACUUGUGAUUUUAUCUACACAAUGUCCUCUUGCAAGUUAAACUCUUUUUGAAUAGUUUUUCAUGAACAAGCUAAGCUUUCUUAUUACAUGGCCUCUUGUCAAUCAUUAAAACUUCACAAGUCCUAACAAUAUCAGACUUCUAAGGAGAUCUAGAAUUGUCCUUAGAAAAACCAUGAAGGAACCACUCAGGUGAAGCAGUCCAAGGUGGAUAUGCUAACAAAUCAAUAUGAAACUUUCACCAUGCAGGAAGAUGAAUCCAUUCAGGAGUUGCACACAAAAUUCAUAGAAAUAACUAAUGAGAUAUAUUUUUUGGGUGAAGUCAUUCCUACUCAUAAGUAUUUUAGGAAAUUCUUGAGCAUUCUACCGAAAAGAUGGGAAAGAAAAGUUGAUCAUAUCACUAAAUCUAGAGAUCUAAAUAAAAUUGCAAUAGAUGAGCACAUUGGAAAUCUCAAAAUCUAUGAGAUGUUAAAGAAACUUGGAGAGUUAAAUAUUGAGCCCAAGGUGCAAAAAAAUUUAGUCCUUAAGGUUGAAAAAUAAACUACCAGUUCUGAAGAAGAUGAAACAACCUAUCUUGUAAAGAGGAUUCUCAAAGCCUUGAGAAAGUCAGGGACUUUACCCAAGAGAGGAGAUUCCAACAAGGUUCUAAAGGAAGGAAAAGGAAGUGACACAUAUCAUAAAUAUGGAAGGCUUGGUCGCUACAUUAAGGAUUGCCCUAUGCAUAAGAUAGAAUGCAAGGAAUACGCUAAGCAGGUUGCUAGUAAAGAAAAAGGGAAAUAUUAUAUUCUUGUAAGGUUUAUUAACAAUACUAAAGAAUACAAGGUUGCCAACCAAGUGUUGGCAGCCUAUAGGGGUGAUGCCUGUAGUUAUUCGGAUGAUUUAGAACAAGGCAAAGAUGUUUCUGUGAUGGUAAUGGAAGAUGAAGUAUCAACUUUUGACUCUCUCCUUGCUAUGAUGGCAGAUACUGAUGAUGAAGAAAAUAGGCUAGUGACUCUCCUUGAAAUCAAGAAAAAUCUAAAAGAUUACUUCCUUAGUAAGUUGAGAUCUCUUGCUUCUGUGUUGAUUGAUUCUUUGGAUGACCUUAUUAAGGACAAAGAAAAUCUAAAUGAAACUCUUGAAAAGUGUGAGGAAGAAGUGAUCAAAUUAAGUGUCCUAGUGGUUGAACUCACUAAUGAUAAGGUAAAGCUAAAGAAAAAUCUAAUAAAGUGUGAAGAAAUGGUAGAGCCGAGAGUGCAAGCAGCUGAGUAUCAUGUAACCUGCAAGACUCUCUUAUGUGAGAACAACCUUCUGAAUAAAAGGAUAGACAAAAUCAUCAAGUGCAAUUCUAAAGGUAAAGGUGAAGGGAGUAGAAUGCAGUUUUAGUUGGAAGAUGAACUGACCAAUGUCAAGGCUGACCUAAUUGCGUCACUUGAUAGAAACACAAUGCUUAAGAAGAAAAUUAUUCAGGAGAAGACUGAACUCGAGAAAGUUAUUAAGUGGACUAUAUCUUUGCAACAUGGACUACCUUCAUCAACCAAGAAUCCAGUAACAACAAAGGCUUAGGAUAGAAUAGUUAAGAAAAUGGACCAAACUUUUUAGUCAGGAAUGUAAGGGACAAAAAGGAUGUUUCAUGCAUCCAUUGUGGAAAGGAUGGUCACUCUAAGGAUAUAUGUCCCUUCAAAACUACAACUUUAGGAAAAAGAAGGAAACAAAGAUUGCCAAACUGGACAAGGAAAAAGCUAAUUUUUCAUCUGUCACACUUUUGGAAAUCCAGACUUAAAUGGGUUCCCAAGGAUAACAAAUAAUUAAUGAUGUAGGAAAAGGCAAAGGGGAGCAACCAUCAAAUAGAUGAUAACAAUGGCUGCUCAAAGCACUUGAUUGACAACCUGAAGAGCACCUCUUACUGAAAGGCCCUUAAAAAAGACAUAUCUCCUAAGCCAUAAAAUCAAGAAUUGGAGUAUGAGUGGAUUUGGUGGUAUCGUAGAUCAAGGAGAAAAAUGUCAUGUUCAAGUACUAAAAUUCUUAUCCUCAGUAGACCUCUGACAAAUAUCAGUAGGGAACUGAUUGAGAGACACUAGAAGGGGUAUGGCUUGUGGAAUCAAGAUGGAUGCAGGAAAUCCUUAUGAUUCUCCUUGUAUGGAUAUGAAUUGGUAAGCAGGUAUCUGGUUUGGAUAAUUUCUUAUCCAUGACAACAAAGAAAAGAUAUGAAAACAGUGGUGAGACAACAAAAAGUUAUUUGUUUUUAGCAUUGCUUAGGGACCUGGUUCCUAAUUAAGUUAGUACUACUUUCUAUUCCUAAAUAAUGACUAUUUUAAAUAUUUAAUAACUGUGCCAUGUAAUUCUCCCAUCUUUUCAAAAAGCUGUCACUUGUGUUUUAAACUUAGUAAACACAUUCAUCUGACCCAACACGUCUUUUUUUAUGUAUCGUGUCUUUUAAUCUCAAUCAUUCUCCCGUACCUUAUAUAAAGUCUAAAAUCAUAUCAUUUUCUCUCUCAUUUUUAAAAUCCUCUCUCUUUCAAUCUCAUUAGUUUCCAAACGUUUCACAAGGAAAGCCAAAAGGCUUGAUCCUCUUAUAUAUUAUAAUUCUUCCAAACCUUAUGGAAUAUCUUAAUCCUUUUCAUUUUCUUUGGAAGAUGAGCCCCUCUCUUUGAAUGUAAUAGACACGCUCUCAAUACCUUUAAAAUCAGAGGAACAAUUUGCCAUUACUAAAUAUACUCCUCUUUUUUUACAAAGAAUAGCCAAACUUUAUAAUCCUCAAACAAAGAUGAACCGACCUAUUGAUUAUUCGUUAAAAGAAAAUGAUGGUGCCAAUCCCUCCAAAUACAAAGAUCAUAACCCAACUAUUCCUCCAGUCUUAUUCACCAGACAACAAAAUGAGGAUGUUGAUGAUGAAAACAUAGUGCUCCCAUUGGCUCUUGAUUCAUCUGGUGAUAGUAAGGAAAGUAUGGAUGGUUCUGAUAUGAAGGAUAACGAACCCUUAUCCUGGAAGACAUCUAAGAAAAGAUCCUCCUCGUCAACUCUUGGAAGAAGAUCAAGUACCAAGAACAUAAUAAAUAAAGCACUAGAAAGAAGCAAGUGUAGUAUUAGAGGAAGAAAAAUGCCAAAGAAAUAUAGAAUAGGUGUAGUUGAGCCAGAUACUAGAGAUAUUGAUAGUGAGAUUGAAAAAAUGUUUGAAGGCUUAAGUGACUCUGAGAAUAGGUGCCUUGACUCUUAUGUUGAAAAGUAUACUGCUCCUGCUUAGGAAAAAAAUGCAGGAAAUAAGAAUUUCCUCACUAAGGAAAGAAAAGGUUUGUUAGUUUGAAAGUUAGUGCCCAGUGUCACUAGUAAGAGAAGAAGGUUAGUUGAUGUUGAGGAUAUAGGACUAGGUCCCAUGUCCAAAUCUUCCAGAACCUCACAUGCUUCUGGGACCACCAGGAGGGGAACUGGUACGUUGAAGAAAGUUAUGACAUCUAAAGAGAAGGGUUUGUCUCGAGAAGCUAGGCAGAAGAUUCUCAAGACUCAGGAAGUUUUUAGGGGAAGGUUUUUUUAUCCUUCUGUGGCUGACAUGCAUGGAAUGAGAAAAUUACUUAAUUAGGUAAAGUUUUAGAGAUGGGAUCACUUUUUGAGUUGCAUAUGCCACUAUUGCAUAAGGAAAAGGUAACUAUGUUCUACCAUAACUUAGUUAUUUCCGAUGAUGGUCUGUAUUUAACUUCACUAGUUAAUGGGGUAGAUAUGGCCUUUGAUGAAUAUACUUUUUCUGAGAUUCUUGGAGCUCUGACUGUAGGAAUUAGGUCGAUUAGAUCAGGGAAAGGGUUUGCACAAGUUUUUGGGAAUGUGUAGUGAACUUGAUAACUUGAAUAGUAAGACUAUCAGCAAGAAGGUUCUAAAGAAAGAAUAUCAGCUGUUGUUUAAUUAGUACAUAGGGUUCUACUCCCAAGGUCUAAGAGAAGGAGUACUGUGACAGGGCCUGAUAUGUACCUCAUGGAAAUGUUGUCUACCUAUCAGAAGGUGAACCUUCCAGCGAUUGUCAUUGAGUAUUUUAAUACAAUUAUGACUUCAAAUGAUGGCAAACAUGGCCUAACUUACUAUUUUUGGCUGAACAGAGCAGUUGAUUAUUUUAAUGUUGAAUGUGACAAGGCCAAGGCUGGGUCCAUGAAAUAAAUGUUUAACCUUACCUCUUAGGAAGAAAUGAAUGCAUUCCCAGAAAGGGAAGUUAAAAGUCUAAGUCCUUUGUGUGUGAGCUACUUAAUGUGCAAUAUGGUAUGAGGAAGUAAAUAUUCUGACUACCUUGGUAGCUCAAAAAGAUGAUGAGUUUGUUGCAUUAAAGGUUGCAUCAGUUAAAGAUGCAGAAGAGGCAACCAGUUCUCAUGAAAAGUUGAAAAAAAAAGUUACCCUGCAUAACAAGGUGAAGAAGUUGGAAGCUCAAUUUGAAGCCUUGACUGCAAAAAAUGCUGAUUUGACUCAACAAAUUGUCAAGGUACAUGACACAAAACAUGAAAGAAUGAAUGUACUCCUCGGGCAACUAGAUCUAGCUAUAGGAACUUCUUCCUAAAUCCUUUUUACUAUGGUCCCCACUCUUUUACCUUCCCAGCCCUAUUAUUAAGCCUCAUGAAGCUUUAUUAUCUUUUGUUCUUUUUUGUUUAUGAUGAGUAAAUAGCACAAUUGUUAUGAUAUUUUUUUAGUUAUUAUUUUUAAUGAUAUUUGGUACUGAUUGUUGGAUGAUCGAUAUGUUAAUUCCAAAAUUUUAUGGAUGGCUUUUGUUACCUUUGGUUAUGCUAUCACCUAUCACUUCUAUCUAAUCUUUCUUUCUCAUGUAAGUGUAGCCUCAAUGUCCAUGGGCUAACAUGUAUUUUUAUCUGUACUUAGUGUACUGCUUAACCUUUUUGAUGAUACCAAAAGGAGGAAAAUUUGAAGUAACUUGCAUUAAUUUGGCUAGAUGAGGAUGUGUGGUUGUGUGGUUGUGUUGAUCAAUAAAGUGAAUAAGGUGUAGGAUGGAUGUGUGGGAUAGAAGUUCUCUCACUUAGGGGAAGCUUGAUGCUCAUUGAUAGGGGGAAUAAUGUGUAGAAUGGCUAUAUACUUAUAGGUAUUGGUAAUAAGGGGAAUUGGUUGGGCAAACUAGUUUGGCAUGGCCUUGUGGCUUGUAGUGUGUUACUGAGGUGUAAAAUGUGCUGUGUGGGGAUGUUUUGAAAAUAGUGAAUGCCCACAUAGGUUUGUCAUCAUAAAAAAAGGGGAUAUUGUUAAGUCCAUAGUUUUGAUGAUUGGCAAACUAUAUGACAUUCGGAUGUUGGGACCUAUUUCCUGGAGUUUUUGUGAUAACAAAGCUACUAUGAAUUAGGGAAUAGGUUGGGCUCACCUAACACUAUCACGGUCAACAGUCAUAGCUGAUACAAUGUACAAAAGUUAGUGAAAAAGUUGCUGCCACCUUUUUGCCUCAACCAAUUGGAUCUCUCCUAGGUUUUCUUGUUUCAUACUAUAUAUUGCUCAUUUUCCUCAACAAGAAAACUAAUUCUUUCAUAUUCUUACAACUAAAUAUCCUUUGAAGCUGAAAUCAAUGACUAUAAACUGCAGCAGGAAACUGAUUGUUCAUCGAUUUGUAUUCUUACUUUCUUGUUGUAGUUGAGUCUUUGAGUUUUGUUCUUAAACAUUUGCCUACAUUUUCUUAUGAUUCUAGUCGGUGUUGAGGUGCUAACCUUGUUUUUAUAAUCAUUUAGAGUUAGGUGACUGUUCAAGAUAGAGUUAGCUUGUUAUGUCCAGUUAGAGUUAGGUGGAGGUUGAAGCAGCUGAGGUACUGCUUGCGUUUCAUUGUAAUAGAGUUUUUGCUCGAAAACAAAGGAUUAGGGGGUUAAUCCUUGGAGUCUGUGUUCAAGAAGUAGCUUGAGUAUAGUGGAGCUUAGAAAUCCUGGAGCCAGGUCGUGAUUUUUUUCUCAUGAGCAAGGAGUUUCCACGUAAAAAUCUUGUGUCUUCUAUUUACUUUAUUCCUACACUUCUUGCCUUAUAUAUCGCCUAGUUCGUGUUAUGUGAGUAUCAGGAAAUAGGUCCCUAAGUUGAGGAGCAACUCACUCCACCCCUUCAGUUCCAUAUUAGGUGGUCAUUUUACCAAAGAUAUUUGUCCCAUGUUAGUUGGUCAUCCUACUAAAUCAAUAAAACAUUGAUUAAAUUUUUUCAUAUUAUCUUUGCAAUUAAUCUUUUUGAAAGAGUUCACACUUAUUUGUAAAGCUUCCAAGAAGUUUUUUAAGGAGUGAAUUAGUAAAAUUAUUUUCUUAUUUAUGAUUUCUUAAUCACCGUGUAAAAUGAAAUGUAUCUAACUAAUAUGAUACGGAUGAAGUAAUUUGGAGAAUUGGAAGAGUUGCAGAGCAAUUAAUUUUCAGUUAUUGUAACCAUUCAAUAUUUUUGAAAUUGCUUUCAUAUUCCUUAGUUACUGCAGGGUAACCUUUUGAAUGCAUAGCUGUUUAUGUAAUAUUUUUUAGUUUAGCCUUCAGUCAACAUUAUAUAAUCCUUUUACAACUAAUUACCAACUUAAUUAUUUAUGCCAGCAAAUUUCUUCAAUUUUUAAUCUGGAAUUUGAAGAAUUAUGUUUGCAUUCAAUAAUUAAAUAUUGAGUAAUUGAAAAGGAAUCUUAAGAAUCCACAUGAGAGUCCUAAUAAAUCAUGUUUCUCACUUUGGCAAGCAUGUGAUGAAGUGUAAAAAAGAUAAAUUAAAAAGGACGUCUUUUAUGGUCUUUGGCAAUCAAAGUUCAUUAUUGUUUGGUUACCUAUUGCAAUUAUUGUUUGGUUAACUAUGUUUAUGUGAAAUAGAAGGAUUGCAGCUUGAUAGCUUGCAACCAAGGAGAAGAAGAAGAUAAACAGAAGCCGAAUUUUCAUUAUUCUCUCCUGAAGCUUUACAGUUAUGAGUCUAUUUAUAGACUUGAGUUAAGAGGAGCUAAGAAUGAGCUAAGAAGUGAAUCAUGUAUCCAUCUCAUUGACAACUCAUUGUAACUACUAAUCAUCAUCUAACAACCUCAAAUAGCCUAUACAGUUGACUCAUCUAUCAGAUAACUAGCUAACUGACUAACUACCCUAUCAGUUUUACACAUCAAUAGAAUAGGUAGUCGUACAUGUGUCAGUGUAUGUAGUAGUCAAAACAGUCCCCCUCAAGCUGCAGGGUGCUGAAUGUUUAGCACACCAAGCUUGCUAAGUAAAUGAGUAUGUUGAGAAAGGCUCAUGCCCUUGGUAAGCAGAUCAACAAGUUGAUUACUAGAUUGAACAUAUAGAGCCUUAAUCAAGCCAUCUUUAAUCUUGUCCCUAAUGAAGUGGUAGUCAAUCUCAAUGUGUUUGGUUCUCUCAUGAAACAAAGGGUUGUUGGCUAACUGAAUGGCUGAAUUACUGUCACUGAAGACUAAAAAAUGAAGGGUGGCAUGAACCCUGAGUUCCUAAAAUAAACAAACUAGCCAAGUGAGCUCUGCAACUGAUGAAGCCAUGCUUCUGUACUCAGCUCCAGCAGAACUCCUGGAAAAAUAUGUUGUUUUUUUUAUUUCCAUGAUAUUAUUGAUUCACCAAAGUGAAUGGCAUAACCAGUAACUGAUCUUCUGGUGUUGGGGUAAGCAACCCAAUCUGAGUCGCACCAAUAAGUUAGAGAAGUAGUAGGCUCAGCCUUGAACCAGACACCUUGACCAACAGAACCUUUAAGGUACUUGACCACCCUCGUAGCUGCUUCCCAGUGAGAUUUCUUGGGUUGUUGCAUGAAUUGGCUGAGAGUUUGAACAGAAAAAUUAAUGUCUGGCCUUGUAAUAGUGACAUACAUAAGUUUUCCAGCAAGUCUUUGGUAAGAAGAAAUGUCAGAAAUUAACUCAUUAUCUUGUGCACCUGUGGUAUGAUCAUACUCAAUUGAGGUUAACUUGGCAUUAGAUUCUAGAGGGGUAAUAGCCGUUUUAGAACCACUAAGCCCUGUGUCAGCAAUCAACUCAAGAAUGUACUUUCUUUGGUUUAAUAUGAUCCCUGAUGCUGAUCUUAAAACUUCAAUGCCUAAAAAAAUACUUGAGAUCCCACAAGUUUUUCAUUUUAGACUGCUGAUGUAACUUGAUUUUAGUGGUAUUGAUCAAUGAUGCACUGCUCCCAGUAAAUCAGUAAAUCAUCAACAUAUACAAGUACUAUAACAAUAUCAUUACCUUGAUGCAAAGUGAAUAGGGAAUAGUCAUGUACACUCUAGGUAAAACUAGCAUCAUGUAAAACAUGAGUGAGCUUCAAAUUCCACUGCCUGGAGGCCUGCUUAAGACCAUACAAGGAUUUGAUCAACUUAUACACGUUGUGCUCCCCCUAUCUUCUAAAUCCUUCUGGAAUUUCCAUGUAGACUUCCUCCUCAAGAUCCCCUUGGAGGAAUGCAUUAUGCACAUCCAUUUUAUGAAGAUUCCAACCUUUAAAUGUAGCUACUGCAAUCACACAUCUGACUGUAACCAUCUUAGCCACUGGUGAGAAGGUUUUAUGAUAAUCUAACCCCUUCUGUUAGCUAUAUCCUUCGGCCACUAAUCUUGCUUUGAACCUUUUCACUUCAGCAUUUGCAAGAUAUUUGAUUUUGUAUAUCCAUUUGGAACCAACAUUAUUCUUCCCUUUAGGUAGAUCAACAAUGAUCCAUGUGUUGUUAGCUUCCAAGGCCUGAAUCUCUGACUUUAUAGUUUUCACCCACCUUGCAUCUUUUAUAGAUUAUUUAUAGUGCUGAGGCUCAGUCAAAGCAGAGUAUUUGGUUAAAUAGCACUGAUAAGUAGGACUCAGAUUUUUGUAAGACAGGCUUUUGGCUAAUGGAUGUUUGCAUCUCUGGUUUCUAGAAGUGUCAACAUAAUCAUGCAUCCACACUGGUGGUCUGCUUGUUUUUGUUGCUCUACUGGAAGAGGGUUGAGGCAGGGAAUAGUCAUCUUGACAUGUUUCUUCAUGAGUGGUGCCAUGUGAAGCUGCACCAGGUAUUGCAGCAUCAGAAAUGCUUUCCUCUUCAAUUGGAGUUUCUUCAGUAAUACUAUCAGUAGCUGUCUCAGGAAAUAUUUCAUCAUCUGUGGGGAUCAAGAAGUCAGUGAUAACUCAAUCUCAAAAGCUACCUCAUGGGGGAGGGGGGGGAUUUCCCAAGACCAUAUAAGGAGACCAAGGACCCUUUAACCCACUAAUGUGGGACUCUAACACCCCCCGCACACUUAGGGCUGGACAAUAUAAGACGGGGGGCCCAAUAUCGAAAACAAUGAACUGGGUGGGCCUAGCUCUGAUACCAUGUGAAAUAGAAGGAUUAAAGCUUGAUAACUUAUAAUCAAGGAGGAGAAGAAGAACAACACAAGCUGAAUUUUCAUUAUUCUUUCUUGAAGCUUUACAGUUAUGAGUCUAUUUAUAGACUUGAGUUAAGAGGAGCUAAGAAUGAGCUAAUAAGUGAAUCAUGUAUCCAGCUCAUUGACAGCUCAUUGUAACUAACUAAUCAUUAUCUAACAACCUCUAACAGCCUAUAUAGCUGACUCAUCUAUCGGCUAACUAGCUAACUGACUAACUACCCUAUCAGUUUUACACAUCAAUUGAACAGGUAGUCAUAUAUUUGUCAGUGUACGUAGUAGUCAAAACAGUUUAUUAUGUUACCAUCAUUCUUGGCAAAUCUCUAAAUUUUUUAGGGAUAAGUGCUCAUCUCUAAAACUUUAGCUUCUUAACAAGUAUUCUCAAGGAAUCAACUUACAAAUAUUAGUAAUUCUUUCUCGAUAUCAGAUAAGUCUUUUCUAAAGUUUAUGCUUAAUGAAAUAAAUUCUUGAAAUUUUGUUAACUUUAAUAAAGGAUCAUGAAGAGUUGCAGUGGAUUGCUACCUAAAUCAGGUACCUUUUCCUAGAUAAACUCAAAAAGCAAGAAUUAGGAGAAAACUAUACACUAAAAUGCGUGGAGAAAGUAAAUAGCAGACACAAUAAUUUUAUGUGGAAACUCCUUGCUCAAGGGAGAAAAAAAAUCAUAAACUGCCUCCAGGAUUUCUAAGCUCCACUAUAUCCAAGCAAAGUUGAAUAUAGACUCCAAAUUCCAAGGAUUAAAAUCCUAAUCCUUAAUUUCCUAGUAAUAACUCUAUUACAAGGAGACACAAGCAGUAAAUCUACUGCUUCAACCUCCAGCUAACUCUAACCAGACACAACAAGCCAAAUCUAGCUUGAGAAUCACAUAACUGUAGAUGAUUACAAAGAAAUAAGGUUUACACCACAACACCUACUAAUAAUCAUAAAAUCAACAACAGUCAAACGUUUUAGAACACCUUACUAAGACUCAAAUAUAAUAAGGAAAUAAAGUAUAACUUGAUGAGCUAUCAGUUCCCUGUUGCAAAAAGAGUCUUUGAUUCAAGAGCUUCGAGAGAAAUAUUUUUUGUAAGUAUAUAAAAGUUUGGUUUUCUUGUUGGAGAAGAUAAGCAAUAUAUAUUAUGACACAAGAAAACCUAUGGGGAAUGUCAUUAAUUAAGACAAAAAGGUGGCAGCAGUUUUCACUAAUUUUUGUACUUGUGUCCAGCUGUGGGGUUGACAGUGAUAGUCACAGGUAAGCCCAACUUGUUCCCUGGGUAGUAGAAAAUUUGUCAUCACACAAUCUUUAGGAAACAGGUCCCCAACAUGCAGUUUGUCAAACAUCAAAACUAAGGACUUAACAAUUUCCCCCUUUUUGAUGAUGACAAACUCAUGGAACCAUUCAGCAACCCCAACCAUCUGCAUAGCACACAACAGACACACAGGACUCAGCAACACAUACCCUCAAGUCUUUUUCUCCACCAAUUCCCCCUGCCUAUGAUACCCCUAAGCAUUCCUUACAUAUUCUCCCUGUCUAUGAGCACCAAAAAGUUUUUCCCUGAGUGUAAGAACCACUUUCUUCAUUCUCCAUUCCCUUGUUCUAUCUCGACUUUUACACAAUGUACACAACUUCUCUUCUACACGAUAUGCACAGAUACACCUAAUCUCAACUUCCCUAUUUUGGCAUCAUCAAAGAAGUUACGCAGUAAACCAAGCAUAGAUAGCACAUAUAUAUUAACUUAUGUUUAUUGAGACAACACUUACAUAAGCAGGGAAGAUGAGAUAAGGAAGAGAGAAAAUAGCACCAAGAGAGCUCAUGCAAGAAUCAAGAGAAAGUAUCAAACACUUAUUCAGAUAGAGGACCAUAGAGAAAAAAACAGUUGUCCUAUGUUUACAGACAGAGACAACCAUGCACUAGCACAAGGAUAAGAGAACCCAUAAGAGAAGUAGGAACCAGGGUAUGUGGUUUAAAGAGAAUCAAUUUCCUUCAUCCGUCACCCUUUUUUUGUUUUAAUUAUUAGUAUUUUUUAAUUCAAACUUAGCACUCCUAUCAACCAUGAAUAAGACUGGCUGGUAGACUCAAGGAGAGGGUGGAUUUUUUAGUGACUAUGGACAUAGUACUUUGCUGGAAAAUAGAAUUAUGUCCACUAUUCAUAAAUAGAGUGUGAUACUAACCUAAUUGGAAAAUUGGUCCCUAUAUGAAGAUUUGAGUACAUAACAUUCUGAGCUAUUUUGUCUUCUCCCUAUCUUGUCCUUUCUACCAUAGGUGUAUAUCUGCAAAAGAUAUGAGACUGAGUUAGAUAUAGGUGUACAAUCUGACCUAGAUACCUACUUACCAAGUCAUAGCCAUAAUUGGAGUACGAAAAAAAUUAGCAUGCAUUUAACUUGACCUCAUUAGCCCUAUCCUUGUCUUAUUUUUCUCAAACUGUUCUCUAUCCAGUGACUUGGUGAAGAUGUCAGCAAUUUGAUCUUCAGUACAUCAAAACACCAUCUUGAUCAUCCCCUUCUCCAUAUUAUCUCUAAGAAAGUAUUGUCUAACAUUAAUGUAUUUUGUUCUCUUAUGCUUAACUGGAUUCUUAUCCACAUUGACAAAACUUAUAUUGUCAUAGAAUAAGGGCAAAAAAUCUUGGAGAAUGCAAAAUUCCUCAAGUUGUUGCUUGAUCCAUAACAGUUGAGCACAACAUAAUGUAGCUGUAAUAUAUUCAGCCUCAGCAGUAAAAAUUGCCACUAAGUUUUGCUUUUUGGUACCUAAGAGAUUAAGGAUGAGCCUAGAAAAUGAGCCAUUACUGAGUUACUUUUUCUAUCAACUAAGUACCCCGCAUAAUGUGCAUCAGUAUAGACAACCAAGUCAAAAUUGUCACCAUUCGGAUAGAAAAGAACCAGGUAAGGGGUUCCUUUAAGAUAUCUCAAAAUCUAGCACAUAUUCCAACACUAAACACAAUGUCAAGUCUGUUGGUUUUCAGGUAGAGUAGUGAACCAAUAAACCCCCUAUACAUAGUUUCAUUUACAAAGGGACUAGGUUCAUCCAAGUCUACUUUAGAGGAGGUUCCUAUAGGAGUAUCAAUAGGCUUUUCAUCCUCUAUAUGGAACCUUUUGAGAAAUUUCUAAAUAUAUUUUUAUUGGCAUACAGUAGACCCAGCUGCACCUUGUUAAUUUUCAAACUAAGAAAGAAGUUGAGUUCUCCCAUCAUACACGUCUAAAAUUCACUGCUCAUCAGUUGGGCAAACUCAUCACAAAGGGAUUUGGUAGUGGAUCCAAACAUGAUAUCAUCAAAAUAAACUUGGACAAUGAGAAGAUUUCUUCCUCUAACUUUUAGGAACAACGUGUUGUUAAUCAUUCUUCUUUUGAACCUAUUGUCAAGCAAGAAUUUGGUCAGUAUUUUAUACCAAGCUUUGUGAGCUUUCUUUAAUCCAUACAAGGUUUUGUUUAGUUUGAACACAUGAUUAGGAAAAUUAACAUUUUUAAAAUCUGGAGGCUACCUAACAAACAUUUCUUCUUUGAGAAAUCUAUUUAAUAAAACACUCUUUACAUCCAUCUAGAAUAAUUUGAAGUCCAUGUAAGAGGCAAAUGCAAUAAAAAUUUGAAUUUCCUCCAUCCUAGCCACUGGAGCAAAUGUUUCAUCAUAAUCUAUCACUUCUUCUUGGUUAUAGCCUUGCAUAACAAGUCUAGCCUUGUUCCUGAUAGUAUUCUCAUGAUGCUUCCAACUAGAUUUGAGGAGAGUGGAAUUACUUGUACUGGGACCAGUUCCCAUUGAGGUAUUAUCCUUAGGGCACUAAUUAUUACCUUUACUAGAUGGAGGAUCGGGAUCUAAAUGAGGAGCUUGUGAAGUGCCAUCAUUUUGCUGAGUUGUUGUAUCAAAAUUUUCAAGUCUUGACUCUGCUUACUAUGGGGCAUCAUCAUCAUCACUGACAUUUUAUUUUUCAAUAACUUUUAUGGGGUUUCCUAAAUUAUCAUCAGGAGAUCUAUCUUUGUUGACAUCACCAGCUUCAUCAAACAUAACAUGAAUACUCUUUUUCACCCAUUGUGUCCUUUUAUUGUAGAUCUUGUAGGGUUUUCUGAAAUAUUAGUAUCCAACAAAGAUUCCUUCAUCACUUCUUCGAUUAAAUUUUUCAAGAUCCUCCUUGCCAUUAUUUAGUACGAAACACUUGCAGCUAAAUGGUUUGAAGUAGUUCAGAUUGGGCUUCUUUUUGGUCAAAAGUUCAUAGGUUUUUUUAUUCAGAAUAGAUCUCACAAGGCACUUGUUAGUCACAUAGCAAGUUGUGUUAAUUGCCUCUGCCCAAAAAUUGUGAGCAAUCCCUGCAUCUAUUAACAUAGUUCUUCCAAUGUCCACAAGAGUCCUGUUUUUCCUCUCCAUAGCACCAUUUUGUUGUGGUGUUCUAGGAGAUAAAAAAUUAUGAUUGAUUCCUAGUUCAUUGCAGAAUUGAUUGAACCUAACAUUUUCAAAUUUAGUUCCAUGAUUAGACCUGAUUGAUGCAAUCUUGUCAUCAUACUUCACUUGCACCUAUAUAGAAAAAGCCUCAAAUAUAUGAAAAGUUUCAUCUUUUGAUUUCAAAAAGAAGGUUCAGGUGAAUCUAGAGUAAUCAUAAACAAUAACCAAGAUGUAUUCUUUUCCACCUCUAUUGGCAAUAUUUACACGCCCACACAGAUCCAUGUAGAGGAGUUACAAAGUCCUAGAUGUACUCACUUCCUUUUUGGUUUUGAAUAAAUAUUUUGUCUAAUUUCCUUUUGCACAUACAUCACACACCUUAGAGCUGGCAAACUUUACAUUAGGCAAGCCUUGAACUAGGUUAUUUACCAAUUUGUUCAGUAGUUUGUAGCUAACAUGACCUAGCCUUCUAUGUCAUGUGUCAGCAGUAUCUUCUUGCACAGUAAGGCAUGCCAUAUUUUUGGACUUACAGGAUCCCUAGUCAGCAAAAUACAUAUUCUUGUUUCUCCAAGCUAUCAAUAUUUCUUUACCAUUUUUGAUCCUGAUAACAGUGCACUUUUCUAGUCGGAAUCUUACUUCAUUUUUUUAUCACAAAUUUGGGCAACACUCAGCAGACUAAACUUUAAUCCAUCUACAAAAUGGACAUCAUUAAUUGUCUUACUCUAACUAUUUCUAAUUUUCCUAAUCCCAACUACAUAGCCCUUGUUACCAUCACUAAAGGAGACGACACCGCUUUCAGGGGCCUUAAGCGAGAGGAAGUCCUCAAUUCUUCCAUUCAUAUGCUUUGAACAAUCACUAUCCAUGACCCAGUGAUGGAUGCUUUCUCUAGUUUACCCUAUAAUAAUAAUAAGUGAUUAGUUUUGGAAACCCAUUUUAGCUUAAGCUCUCAGUAAGGUGAUGGUGGAAAUAUUAAGUUCUUUCUUGUCCAGCCAGGUAAGUUUACACUUCUUUCCUUUUGAAAAAAAAAUCCCCUCAUCUCUUUUAGAGCAACAGCUCUAGCAGGACAUGACUUCUUUGUGUGCACAUUUUUUCCAUAGUGAAAACACAACAAAUUAUCCUCGACUGAAACAUAUUUGCUAAAGUUGUAGGCAGGGUACACACUAAAGAACCCAGUCCAAGUAUUCUAUUUCAAGGCCUUGUUAAGUUCUUCCUUCACUUUAACUAGGUCUCUCUCUAGUUCAACACUCCUCUCAAGUGAGGCAGUCAGUUUUUCAUUAGCCCUAGUCAGUUUCUUUUUAACUUAAGUUGAAUUUGGGACUUUUCAUUCUUUCCUUUUGAAUUAACUCUAGAUGUUUCAUUCAUCUUUUCUUUUAGGAAUUCAUUUUCCAUAUAGAAGGAUUGACUAGUUGUUUGAAGUUUAGUUACUAGCACACUCAAUUCAAACAUUUAUUCUUCAUAUUUUUCAAAAUUUAACUUAAAUAUUCUUUAUCCCUUGUGAGAUCAUGAACAGUGUCAAUUAGUACAGCAGUAAGAGACUUCACCUCUUUAAGAGAAUAAUUCUUGAGAUUUUCCUUGAUGUUCAAGAGUGUUACCUUGUCAUCUUCAUCCUCUUCUGAGUUUUUCAUCAGGUAAAGAGAGAGUCAUAUACUAGAACAUCAUCCUCCAUCACUAUCAUGGAGACAUCUUCAUGCUCCUCAAAUUCAUCAGCAUCAUAGAGAGAAUCACCCAGAGCAACUAUGUCUUGCAUUGCAACCCUAUCAGCUUUAAUUUUUCCGUUAUGCUUUUCUUGAAAUUGUUUCUUAUCUCUUUCCUUCUUAAUGUUUUGCUUGGAAUGUUCUUUGUAUUCUAUCUUGUGCAAAGGACAAUCUUUGAUGUAGUGAUCAGGCUUUCCAUAUUUGUGGCAUGUAUCAUUCACCUUCCCAUAUAUGGUAUAUUUGUUAGAUUCCCCUUUUUGGGGGAUAGUGCCUGACUUCUUUAAAUCCUUCAUAACUUUCUUAGCAAUGUAAGCAAUUUUCUCAUCUUCAGUACUUGGGGUUUCUUUAGUAGCCUUUAGAGUCAGGUUCUUCUCUAUCUUGGGCUCAUUUUUCAACUUUCCAAACUUUUUCAACAUCUCAUAAGUUUUGAGAUUACCAAUAGGCUCAUCCAUAGUCAUUUUAUCUAGAUCUUUAGCUUAGUGAUGGUAUUAAAUUUACUCUCCCACUGCUUAGGAAAGGGUAAUUAGCAUUAGUUUUAGCUUUGGUGGUUUUGAUAUCUUCUCCCAAAUAGUGAAGCUAAUUUGUUAUGGAAGUAAACUUGGUGUGCAUCUCCUGAAUGGAAUCUCCCUCCUUCAUGGUGAAAGUCUUAUUGGUUUGUCAACAUAUCCACCUUGGAUUGCUUAAGCCGACUAGUUUCUUCAUGGGCUGUCUGAAGACAAUCCCAGAUCUCUUUAGCAGUUUCACAGGCAGAGAUCAUGUUGUACUUAUCAGGACUAAUACCACAUACAAGCAGCUUCUUCGCCUUGUAUUUCUUUUCAAUCUUCUUUAUGUCUGCAUCAUUAAAAUCCUUCUUGGUCAUGGGAAGUUGCGAGGUCUUAUCUCCAAUCUUUAUUGCCCUUGUGGGAAUAAAAGGACCAUCCUCAAUGAUGUCCAUAAUUCUGAAUCUUCAGCCCCGAUAAAAUCAUGUAUUCUUGUUUUCCACCACACAUAAUAUUCACCAUUGUAUCUUGGUGGUUUAGUGAUUGACUGGUUCUUUUAGAUUUGGAGGAGCGGCCAUAUUCAAUAUCUUUCCAGGGUAUUAACCUUUUUAGGAAGACCUUACUCUGAUAUCAAAUGAAGAGUUGUAGUAGGUUGCUUCUCAACUUUGGGACCUGUUCCCAAAUAAACUCAAUCAAUAAGAACUAGGAGAAAACUCAAACAAUAAAAUGCAUGGAGAAGGUAAAUAGCAAACACAAUAAUUUUACAUGAGAACUCCUUGCUCAAGAGAGAAAAAAACAUGACCUACCUCCAGGAUUUCUAAACUCCACUAUAUCCAAGAAAAGUUGAAUAUAGACUCCAAACUCCAAGGAUUAAACUCCUAAUCCUUAAUCUCCUAGUAAUAACUCUAUUACAAAAAGACAUAAGCAGUAACUUUACUGCUUCAACCUCCAACUAACUCUAACUGGACACAACAAGCUAACUCUAGCUUGAGAAUCACCUAACUCUGAAUGAUUACAAAGAAAUCAGGUUUACACCACAACACCUACUAAUAAUUAUACAAGCAAUAGUAGGAAAACAUUUUCGAACACCUUACAAAGACUCAAAUACAAUAAGGAAAUAAAGUACAACUUGAUGAGCUAUCAAUUCCCUGUUGCAAAAGGAGUCUUUGAUUCAAGAGCUUCGAGAGAAAUAUUUGUUGUAAUUAUAUAAAAACUUAGUUUUUGGUUGGAGAAGAUGAGCAAUAUAUAUUAUGAAUCAAAAAAACGUUGGAGGAAUGUCAUUGGUUGAGACAAAAAUAUUGCAGCAGCUUUUUACCAACUUUUGUACUUGUGCCCAACUGUAGGGUUGAUUGUGAUAGUCACAGAUAAGACCAACCUAUUCCCUAAGUAGUAGCAUCUUUGUCAUCACACAAAUUUUAGGAAACAGGUCCCUAACAUGCAGUUAGUCAAACAUCAAAACUAAGGACUUAACGGAUCAUCUUAUUAGAUAAGGGAAACAUUUGUCAUUUAGAUAAAGACAGUAUUAACAUAAUUUUUUAUUUCAUUUUGCUAGAAAUGUUUGUUAUUAUUUAAAAGUUGGAGUUUGUAGGUAUGGUUCUUGGACUUUCAUUGGUAUAUUCUUUAUGACAAAAGAUAUUAGUUGUUGGAAUUUCAAUAUUUCAUGACAAGAAAUGGGAAAAGGGAGAAUUGUGUCCUUGAGGUUAAAAAAAAAAAAAUAGGUUCCUAUAAGAAGCCAUUAAAGUACUUAGAUAGAUUAUAGGCUUCUGAUUGAAUUUAAAGGUUUAAGUUAUCGAUAACCCCCUAAAUUUGUUUUGAAAUUUCAAUUGGACUCUUCACCUCAGACUUAUACCCUAUUGAACACCUAACCUACCCGAAAUUUGAAUCACUUGAGCAUUUUUUUAUGGGAUAACUACAUAACUCAACAAACAUUGAGUCCUAAUUACCCUAUUUAGCUUAAAUUUCAAUUAAUUACAAUUUAUAGUCCCCUCUUGCCUAUUAAUUAUCCCAAAUUAUAAUUCAUACCCUCUCUCAUGUAUUUUUUCUUUUUUCUUAUUUUCUUUUACUCUUUUUUUUUCUUUUUCAGUUUUUUCUUCAUUUUUUCUUUUCCUUUUUUUUCUCUUUAUUUUUUUUCACUUUUUUUCUUUUUCGUUUUCUUUUUUUCAUUUUUUCAUUUUUUCCUUUUUAUUUUUUCUCCUUCUUUUUUUAUUUUUAUCUCUAUUUUCUAUUACUCUCCUUUUUCUCUCAUUUUUCUCCUUCCUUUUUUUUUUUAAUAUUUUUUUCCUUUUCAUUUUUCUCAUUCUUUUCAUUUGUACGAACCAGCAAACACAAAUACAAAUGAGAACUAUAAAACACAGAUACAAAUUCAAACUAUAACAUACAAAUACAAGUGUGAACUAUACAAUACAACUACAAAUCUGAACUAUAACAUACAGAUACAAGUGUGAAUUAUCAUUUGCAUUUUUUAAUUAUUAAAAAGGAACAAUUAAUUUUCUUUUUACAAAUACUUGUUUGUAUUUAUUGAUACGAGUUAUAUUUAUUGACACAAAUAAAUACAAUUCAAAAUUUUAUACAAAUACAUAUUGUAUUUGUAUUUGUAAAAUUAUUUCUUUGUAAUUGUAUUUGUAUCAAGUGAUAUUUGUUUAUUUACAAUCACGAAUGAUAAUUUUGACAUACAAAUACAAAACGGUACAUUUGUAUCAAAUGAUACAUUACAUAUUUAUAUAUUUUAGAAUCAGGAAAAUACAAUUAAUGCAUUUACUUGUUUGCAUACAAAUAUAAAUGAUAAAUUGUACAUAAUCAUGGCUAAAUACAAUAUGCAAUCAACUUACAAAUACAAAUACAAAAUAAUUCUUUAAAAAUAAAAAGGCAUCGACGAAAAUAGAAUACAAAUACAAAUAUAAUCUAAAUAUACAAACACAAUAACAUUACAAUAUAAAUAUAAAUAAUCCAAUAAAUAUACAGUCAAUUAUAAAAUACAAAUACAAAUUAGUUCUUUAAAAUACUAGUGCGAACUAACAAAUAUAAAUACAAGUGUGAAUUAUAAAAUAUAAAUAUAAAUGUGAACUACAAAAUACAAAUACAAGCGCGCACUUUAAAAUAUAAAUACAAAUACAGUUCUAUCAAUGAAUACAAAAAUAUAAAUGAUGGUGUGACUACAAAUACGAUAAACAAUUGUGGUAUUUACGUUAUCAUUCAUGACUUGUGCUCAAGUAGUCAUAAUUUUUAAAAAUACAAAAAAUAUAAAUAGAACCAAAAAAAAAAAUGAUAAAGUAAAUAAGUACAAAAAGAAAAGAAAGAAGAAAGAGAAAUAGAAGUUAGAGAUAGAAGAGAGAAAAUUUAAAAUAAAAAAUAAAAAAAAUAAGAAUAGGAAAAAUAGAAAAAAGAAGAAGAAAAAAUAAGGAAAACACGAAAAAGAAAGAAUAUAAAAAAAUGAAAAAAAAUGGUAGUGUUUUUGGCGAGACUAAAUAUGUAGUGUAUUUAUGUUUUUUAUGAAUAUAGACCACUGAGUAAAAGUGAAUACAACGACUGUGAAUCUAAUACGUCGAUUAAAUGGUACAAUACAAACUAUUGUUAAAAUUGAAUACAACGGUUAUAAAUGGUAAUUAUGUAAAAUAUAGCUAUGGAAGGUGAGUUUUUCAGCAAAGUGUAGCUGUUUUUGAAAGAUUUUCUUUUUUUAUUAAUCAGCUAAAAACACAAAAUAUAUGCAACACACUCUCACUGGCAAAAUGACGAAUUAAACUUGGACAUUUGGAAUUAAAUCUAAAAAAUAAUUAAAAAAUAAAUGGCAAAAAAUAUCUAUAUCUAUAUCUAUAUCUAUAUCUAUAUCUAUAUCUCUCUCUAUAUAUAUAUAUAUUCUUGCCAUUUAUAUUUUAAUUAUUUUUUAGAUUUAAUUUCAAAUGUCCAAGUUUAAUUUCAAAUCUUAUGUAAUUUACCACAUUCAUUUCAUCAUAAGCUGAAAUUUAAUUAUCUCCACCAGAUCAUACAUGAACACACAAGGAUUACCAUAUGCAAAAAACUACACCUACAAGAAUGUGUAUAUCAAAUUUCAACUUAAAAAUGUAAUUUUCAAUACGUUCACAUUCACUUCAAUUGAAUUAACCUUAGAUUCACGUAACUGAUAAAAAAUCUCAACAAAAUCUCACAAAAAUGGUUCAACCUUUAGAGAAUGAAUUUGCUCUGCCGGAAGCGAUAACACAUAUACCAAUCUAGCUGGCACCAAUUUCUCCCACCAAUUUCGUCAAAAUUUCAAUUCCCAAAUUUUCGCACCAAAUUCGUCAAUUUUUUUCAAAAUUUUCAAAUUUCCGCACCAAUUUCGUCAAAAUUUCAAUUCCAAAAACUUUUUUUAGCAAAUCUUAUGUAAUUUACCACAUUCAUUUCAUCAUGAGUUCAAUACCCAAAAUAUAAAUUUUCAACUUCUCCGAAACUUAUCACGAGAAGGUAGAUCGUAAAUAUUUGGUGUAAAGUGGUGGACUUGUGGUGGUGAAGUAGUGGCGGAAAUAAGUGUAGUUUAUGAAGAGGGGAAAGAGAGAAAAAUUAUUUAAAAGAAAAUGAGAAAGAAAGAGGAAGACAUGACAGAGAGCUGUAGCUGAUUAUGAAGAGGAUAAAGAGAAAAAGAUUAUUUAAAAAGAAAAUGAAAAAGAAAAAGGAAGAGACUACACAAAUGAAAUUAAUGAAAAAAGUGUCAUUUUUAUAUUUAAAUUUUGAUUUUUUUGCCGACAUGUCAAUUUUGUAUUGGCUUGUCAAAAGAUCUGAAAUUCUUCAUGCGCCUACCUUGAGUAAUUUUCACUCAAGGUGCCAUGUGAGCUAAAAAGGCUUAGGUGGUUCAAAUUAUGGGUGGGUUAGGUGUUCAAAGGUUACAAGUCUGAGAUGAAGGGUCCAAAUGAAAUUUUGAAAUAAGUUUAGGGGUGGAAGACUUGCCAAUUUUAAAAUAUCCAAAACGAUGAUCUCUUAUAUAAAGUCAUUUACACGAAAAGUGUGUCAUUUACACGAAAAGUGUGGUAUUUAGAUUUCGGUAAAUUUAAUCAUAUAAGUCCGAGACUAAAAAUGGUAUGAACUAAGUAAAAGUGAGGCUUAACUUUUCUUCACCACAAAAUAAGAGACGGAGAACAAUAUGGCUUUCGAGUGGAUUAUAAAAGAGAAAAGCAAAAUACGAUUGCAUAAAGGUAAUUGAAUCAAUCUGAAUUUGCUUAAAAUUCAAAAGAAUUUAAUUGUAUGGGGAAGAAAUUUGUCAUCCUUUACAAGUUGAUUAGCAAUUGAUCUUUAAAUUAAAGAAAACAAAUUACUUGAAAUUUUUCAGCACUCUUUUUCUAAAGCUAUUUUUUUAAUAGUACAGUAUUACUAAUAAAAAAUGUAAGUCAAUUCAUAACAUUUAUCCAGUCGUCUAACUUAAAACUCUCACAUUUGCCUUGGAAAUGUUAUUUUCUUUUGAGAAGGGAAGUUGUUCCUCUUUCUUAAUUUUAUCUAAUGCUGAGAUAUAUUAGUCGGAUAAGCUAGUUUAAAAUAUUGCAUAAUUUACGCUAAAGGUACGAGUAUUCUCCGAAUAUAAUGAGAACACUUCAUAGAAAAGACAUGUAUAAAAAUUAUUUUAAAAAAUCUGAUACAUUGACAUCAUUCAUUAGGUAUAAAUUUUAUUAUAUUAAUCAAGGCUACAUAAUAUGGGUGUCAUUAAUCAAGAUUUCACAUCAUUCAAUUUGAGUUUAUUUUGACAUCUCUACUACAUAUGCAAAGCAUGUGUCCAGAAACUAGUAUACAAAAAUGAGAAAAUGUCACAAAUAUAGUUAAGACUAUACACAUCAACAAUUAGGUAGUCCAAGUCAGCAGUUAGGAGAAGAUGUGAAAUCUUGGUUGUUUAAAAUCGAGCAAAUAUUUAGUUUUGAUGAAGUUCCUAUGGAGAAAAGAAUUGGUCUAACAAUAGUGCAUCUAGAAGGAGAAGCAAUACAAGGGCAACAGUCUUUUUUGAGGUACAGACAAUACACUUGCCCUUCCACAAUGAGUAUGUAAUGGCGUUGGUGGAAAGAUUUAGUCUAGAAUUUGAUGAUCCAAUGGAGGAAAUUAAAAACAUCAAGUAGACUGGAUCUGUAAAGGAAUACCAAGCUUUGUUUGAAAGCAUGUUAACUAGAGUCAACCUGUCACAAGAAAAUAUAGUCAGCUGUUUUCGUGGGGGGCUUAAGGAGGAAGUAAAUCUUGCAGUAAAGCCGACUUACCCCAGUACAUUGUCACAAUUUUAUAGAUCUGCUAGGAUCCAGGAAGCCUAUUUGAAUGUUCAGGCUAAUGUAAAGACAUACAACCACCAAUUUUGUCUCUUCCUACAAGAAGAUCGGUGAUUAAUGGAUUCAAACUAGGGCAUUACCGCCAAGCACCGGGGGUGAAAGUGUUAAUAGCAAACGAGGUGUUAAUAGAAGAAGGUUGAGUUUGAAUGAAAUCAAUGAGAAGAGAUCCAAAGGGUUGUGUUACUUUUGUACUGAGAAGUAUCUUCCAGGCUAUAAAUGCAAAAAUUUGAAGCAAUUGUAUAUUCUAGAAGUGGAAAAAUUAGAAGAGGAACAAUAUCAAGAAGAGAAAGAGAAUCAUGAAGAUCAUGAUAAAGGUGUUAUAUGACAAAUGGAGAUUUCCAUACAUGCACUCAAUGGUUCUUUAGGCUAUAGAACAUUGAGAGUGACUGGUUAUCAUGCUAAGAGACCUUUGCACAUUCUAGUGGAUGUUAGAAGUUCUCAUAACUUCAUUAAUCCUGACGUGGUGAAGUUAUUGGGAUGUACUACCAGAGAAACUCCACCACAAAUUGUAGCUGCAGCAAUUGGAAAUGGAAUUAAGGUAGACAAGGCUUGUCAAAUAUCUUGGUUGCUACAAGGGACUGAGUUCAUUGCUGAAUUCUUAUUAUUGCCUUUGCCCUUUGGGUUCUUGUGGAGUGGUAUCUGGAGUACAAGGGCUCCUAAUACUAGGAGAUACGAAGAUGAAUUUAAGGAAGUUAACCCUGGAAUUCAUGUAAAGAGGGAAGAGGCAUGUUUUGAGAGGAUUGGGAAAACAACUGGAAACAUCAAGAGGUGGAAGAAUUGAGAAACAAUCAGGUAAUGAAUCACAACUUUGUAUGAAUCAAGUGUUACCAGCUAUAUGUUAUACGUUACAUUGUGAUGUAAUAGAAUCCCAAGCAAUGUUAGAACAACCCAAGGUAGCAGAGUUAUUAGCAGCGUUCAAGAAGUAAUUUGUUGAACCUACUGCACUACCACUUUCUAGAGGGGGGUUUGAUCACAGAAUUAUUUUGUAGUCUAGAACUGAACCUGUAAACAAAGGUCAUAUAGAUGUCCACCCAUUAAAAGGGAUAUAAUUGAGGGGUUUGUGCAGUAAAUGCUUGACCAAGGGAUAGUACAACCUAGUUGCAGGCCAUUUGCAUCACAUAUGCUCUUGGUUGGGGAAAAAAUGGUUCUGAAAAUUAUGUGUAGACUAUAAGGAAUUGAAUAAGAACACCGUGAAAAACAAAUUUCUUAUUCUUAUCGUUGAAGAUUUGCUGGAUGAAUUGGGAGGUUCUAAGAUUUUUUUUCCAUAUUGAUCUAAGGUCUAUUUAUCAUCUAUUGAGAGUGGCAACUGAAGAUAUACCAACAACUGCAUUUAAAACUCAUUCUCGCCAUUUUGAAUAGUUGGUGAUGCCAUUUCAAUUGUUUGAAUACUUUGUGUUGAUGUUCUUUGAUAACUCUUGAUAUGGAGAAGCAACCUUGUACGGGUAAAUGAAUACAGUGUUUAAAGCUUUUCUUAGAAAAUUUGUGUUGGUGUUCUUUGAUAACUCUUGAUAUGGAGAAACAACCUUGUACGGGUAAAUGAAUACAAUGUUUAUCAUCUUGAUAUGAAUACAGUGUAAAUGAAUACUUGAGAUCUGCUUUUCUAGAAAUGAAGCAUUAGUUGUUAGCUAAACAAACAAAGUGCUUCUUUGUUGUUAAAAAGAUAGAAUACUUGGGGAAUGUCAUAUCAGAAGAGGGGGUAUCUACUGAUUCUUUAAAGGUUGCGGAGGUGAAGAAUUGGCCUUUGCCUAAUAAUCUCAAGCAAUUAAGGUGAUUCCUUGGUUUAGUUGGAUAAUAUAGAAUAUUUGUCAAGAGUUUUGGAGUGAUUAGUAGAUCAAUCACUUCUCUAUUAAAGAAAGACAACUUAAAGUGGUCACCUGUAGCUACUUCAGCAAUGGAGCAACUCAAGGAUGCAAUCACACAUGCUCUUGUCUUAGCUUUGCCUGAUGCAAGCAAGAAUUUUAUUGUAGAAGUUGAUGCCAAUGGUCAUGGCAUUGGAGAUGUGUUGAUGCAACAAGACCACCUAUAACUUUUAUCAGUAAAGCACUUUCACCAAGACAUGUUGCAAUAUCUAUCUAUGACAGGGAGCUCAUAGCUAUUAUCUAUGUAGUGGCUAAGUGGUCUAAGCAUUUGUUGGGACAAAGGUUCAUUAUUAGGAUAGAUCAAAAGUCUGUAAAGUAGCUCAUGGAGCAGACAUUUCAUACAAAUUCUCAGUUGCUAUGGUAGACUAAGUGCCAUUUGAUUACUCUAUACAAUAGAAGAAGGGGGUGAUAAUAAAGCAAUUGUCGUACUUUCAAGGGUAACGGGAGCUAAAUUGUUGACUUUGGUUAUUUGUAACACUAAUUCUGAUCUGCUACAAGCUAUUACUCAAAGUUAGGUUACUGAUACACAUGUGCAGACUGUUAUCUCUAAGUUGCAAGCUAAUUCUACUGAAAGUUUCGGUCUUUUUGGCAUCACAAUCUAUUUAGGAGGUAAGAUAAGUUGGUGUCUGGAAAUGUUCCUCCGUCGAGGAAGGAUAUCAUAGCUUUAUGGCACUCUACUAUUAGUGGGGGUCACUCAGGAGUGGGUGUCAUACUAAAGAGAUUGCUUACUUUAUUCUACUGAAAGGGUAUCAGAAAUGAUGUGAAGAGGUCUGUGUUGGCCUGUGAUGUUUACCAAAGGAAUAAAGCUGAUCUUGCAGCUUAUCCUCAACUAUUGCAUCCUCUACCUAUUCAAGAUGUGGUGUGGUCCCAUAUCAGCAUGAACUUUAUUGAUGGACUUCCUAAGUCAAGUGGCUGUGAGGUUAUUUUAGUGGUGGUUGAUAGAUUGAGCUAGUAUGCUCACUUUAUUCUUCUAAAACAUCCAUACACUGCUCAAUCUAUGGCUAAAGCUGUUCUUAAAGAGGUGAUCAGAUUACAUGGUUUUCUUGACAACAUUACUAAAGACAUGGAUGUCAUGUUCUUGAGUACAUUUUGGCGGGAGUUAUUCUCAUUGCAAGGGGUUCAACUUAACCUUUCAUCAUCUUACCAUCCUCGGUCUGAUGGUCAGACUGAAGUAGUGAACAGGUGUCUAGUAACUUAAGAUGUUUUUGUGCUACUGUUGCAACUGAUUUGGGUUGAGACUUGCUAAUGGCUGAGUUUCGGUAUAACACAUCUCAUCAUAGCUCUAUUCAGACUACACCUUAUGAGACACUUUAUGGGAAGCCUCCACCCCUACAUCUACCAUAUCUUCCCGGUGAAUCUGCUUCUGCGGAGGUGGAUAAUACUCUCUCAAAUAGAGAAAUAAGACUACAACUCCUUCAGCAUCACUUGGCUAGAGCACAAAAUAAGAUGAAGCAACUGGCUGAUUCUCAUAGAUUUGAGAGGUCUUUUGAAGUUGGUGACUGGGUGUAUUUUAAGACUCAACCGUAUGGGCAAGAUAAUGUGUCUAACCAACCUUUCCAUAACCUUGCUGCUAGGUAUUAUGGCCCUUUCCAAGCUUCUACGAAGGUUGGCUAUUACACUUUGCUAUUUCCUGUUGAAAAUUCAUCCAGUUGUGCAUGUUUCUCUGCUCAAAAAGUGUCACCGGGUGGCUGAUCAGAUCUCUUAUCCACCUGUGACUUAUAUUGUUAGCCCCUAUUAUCGUCAACCACAGCUAUAUUAUGAAGGAGGAUGGUUAUGAAGGGCAACAAGACUGUUGCUCAGGUUUUGGUUCAAUGGGAAGGGUUGCCUGCUGAUUGUGCUACUUGGGAAUUCGCUACUGCUCUACAAACUAGAUUUCCUCAUUUUGAUCCUUGAGGACAAGGAUUUUUUUCCACCAGGGAAGUACUGAUAUACAAAAAGGCGACACCGUCACAAAUGUAGUUAACACUGUACACAUCAACAGUUAGGUAGUCCAAGUCAACAAUUGAUUAUCAAAGUUAGAGUAGUUAUAAUAUUUCUAGAAGCUUCUCAAUUCCAUAUAUAAACAUUUUAAUCAAUUCCUCUGCAUAAUUGAAUAAUAUACUCAAGUUUCUACUACAAAUUCUAUAAUCAUCUUCUUCUUAUCUUCCAUCAAUUGAGCUUCACUACGCGGGUAAUCUCUGAAAUUUCCCAUGUACAACUACCGAAUUCUCGGAAUCCAUUAGUGAUUUCUUGAUUUCAACUAUCAUCAUCUAAAAAGGUUUGUAACUUGGACAUAUAAUAAAUAUCAAAAGAACAGUUUUGGACAAACUUUGUGCCGCUAUUACGAGGGACUUUGCUGCAACGCCUUUUAGUACAUAGUAAAAAAUAGAUAGAGCGUCUCAAUUUUCUUUUCCAGCACCAAUGGUCACUAUCAGUGUAUUAACAAAAUAUAUUUUCCAUGAAUUUUUUUUGGUGGCCUGGACAGUUAUGGUAUUUUCACGAUGAUGAACGAGUUCUCAAUUGUUCAUAAACUUACUACGUAUUUGUUAAGGUUGCUUCAAGGAAGGAUACAUAUUGACAACAUUUAUCAAAAGUAAUCAUUCAGGCUAUAAAACAUGCUCAUCAAAUAUACUUCUCAUUUAUCAAUCGUAUAAAAUUGAGUCAUUCUGGAAUAAAACACUAACCAAAUUUCUUUCAUUAGAUAAUAAUGCAGGGGGAAGAACUUCCAGCUCUGUGAAAUUUGGAAAAUCGUGUGAUGUUGGUGGUGUUAACAUUUUUAGAUGUAGUAGCAUUUUGAAUCUUUGAUCCUACUAAUUGUACUGGGAGUUCAUGCUUUUUUAUUUUUAGAUCUGUAUUCAAACUUAUAUGUAGUUGUAGAUCCUUUGGAUGUUUGAAUAUUUGGAUAAUUGAUUUGCUGGAGUGAAUUGUCCUUGGGGAAGUUGAAACUUUAUGUUUAGUCACAAAUGACAAACUAGCACUGCAAUUGUCUUCUUCUUUCUAUCUCUCUUUUUUUUUUUUGUAUAAAAAAAAAUCAUCUUUUUGUCCUUUUUAGGCUUUAAUUAUUUGGUUG